AACAAGGUCUCCGUUGGUGAACCAGCGGAGGGAUCAUUAUCGAGUUAUCCAACUCCCAAACCCUAUGUGAACUUACCACUUGUUGCUUCGGCGCGCGCUUCGGCGCCGCCGAGGACACUUAAACUCUUUGUUUUUAUAAGCAUUUCUGAGUGGCCGAAAGGCAAAAAUACAAAUGAAUCAAAACUUUCAACAACGGAUCUCUUGGUUCUGGCAUCGAUGAAGAACGCAGCGAAAUGCGAUAAGUAAUGUGAAUUGCAGAAUUCAGUGAAUCAUCGAAUCUUUGAACGCACAUUGCGCCCGCCAGCAUUCUGGCGGGCAUGCCUGUUCGAGCGUCAUUUCAACCCUCGAGCCCGACUCUUUUGAGGACGGCUCGGCGUUGGGGGACGGCAGACUCCCCCCGGCAUCUCGCCGGGGACGCCGCCCCCGAAAUCUAGUGGCGGCCCUCCGAGGCGACCUCUGCGUAGUAACUUGUUCUCGCACCGGAAAGCUCAGAGCGGCCACGCCGUAAAACCCCAACUUUUUUCAGGUUGACCUCGAAUCAGGUAGGACUACCCGCUGAACUUAAGCAUAUC
Molecule: ribosomal RNA, 572 nt
Filed under: uncultured eukaryote
Lineage: Eukaryota
Description: eukaryotic LSU rRNA
Rfam family: 5.8S ribosomal RNA (bases 182-335)
Source: RNAcentral